AUCCCAGCUUCACGUCUCCACCUUGGGGUAAUCUGUCUAGAGGAUGUACUGUUUAACUUAAAUGCUCUCAUCUGGCUAGCCCAUUCUGGUUCACCACUGCAUCCACAGUCCAAUGUGGGGAGGAGGAGGAAGGUUGGAGAAUGGCAGGUUUCUCAGAGACCAGAGGCCACGCAGAGAGGUGCCCCAGAAGCCUGAAUCCAGUCCUCAGCCCUGGUUCCACCUCAGAAGCUGCCAGUAGCCUGGGGAACCAGCCCCAGGAUAUCAUGUAUCUCUGGGAAGGCCACAGAAGCAGGGCCGCCAUUUCAUCAUUGUCACUCACUUCAUUCCCAUGGAGCGCUGGUGAGAUCAUCGUUCAUCAGCUGUAGGGAAGCAGGCGAUUUAUCAGGGGUCACCUACUAAAUUAACACAGAACCAAGAUGAAAAUGUGUCACCGUCUGAUGCUUAGAGCCAAGACUGGCCUCCACCACCUGGCUUCCAAAGACAAGUGAUGACCUCCAACUGCAAAACAAUGACAGACACUAUGAGGGCUCUACUCCAGCUAUCGCCUUGAGCAGAGAAAGUCCCUUCAGAACUGGAACCAAGAGAGGUCGUGUCCAAUUCUUGUCUCAACCAAGCACCCCCAGAAGUCUUCAUCUGACUUUGGAAUCUAAACUGGGGUUCCAUGGCUCUACUCUGUAGCUCUCUAUCAUUGUCCCUACCACACAAAUCUAUAUUUGCUUUAUUUGCAAAUUUAUUUGUUUCAUGUCGAACUAUCCCCUAAGCUGAUAGAUGUGAGGAUGGGGAUGUGUCCCAAAGAUUAAUACUCUACCAAUUCUAUAAUUAGCUCUCAAUUUAUUCAUCCCACGAGUAGUUAUUGUCAUUCACAUGCAAUAUAGUUUGCUGAACUGAUACUAGACAUCAAAUUGGACUACAUGACUGCAUCAGUUUCCUAUUGCUGCUGUAACAAAUUGUCCUAAAUUUAGGGGUUUAAAACAACUAAUACUGACUUGUUGGAAGUGAAAACUCAGUGUCACUGGGCAGAGUGCAAAGUGUUGGCAGCACUGGCUCCUUCUGAAGGUUCUCAGGGGCUGUCUACUGCCUUACCUUUCCCAGUUUCCAGAAGCUGCCAACAUUCUUUGGCUUCUCACUGCUCCCUCCAGCUUUGAUACCAGGUGUGUUAGCAUCUGGAGAUAAUUCCCUGGCCUCUGCUUCCACCCACUCCUGUCUAACUCUGACCUCCUGCCUUCUUAAGGCCCCAUGUGAUGACACUAAUCAAUGAAGAUCACCCAAGAUUGUCUCCUCAUCUCAAGAUCCCUAAUUUCUACAUAUCACCAAAGUCCCUUCACCAUGUCAAGGAACAUAUCUAUAGGUUCCUGGGAUUAGGACCUGCUCACCUUUGAGGGCCCAGCAUUCAGCCCACUGCAGUGACCUAUGUAACACAUAACUGCAAAUCUCUGAAUGAAAGACUCUUUUUAAAUUCCAGUCUCAGAAUAUUUUAAAAAGUGGAAAGAUUUAUACGAUCUGAAGAGAAACCAGAGUAGUCAAAAUAUUUUAGUAAAUUAUGCAUCCUACACUUUGGAAUCACAUCUUUCUCUGGUUGGAAGCUUGCUUUCUCAUCAGGUCAGCACGUUUAUGAAAUGUGUGAUAUGACUGCAGGCCUGGGGGCUACAGGACCCCUCCUGUCAUGGAUUCAAUUGUGUCCCCCAAAGAUACGUUGUUAGCCUGACCUCAGUACCUGUGAACAUGGCUUUAUUUGGAAACAGACUAUUUCAAGGUGGGAUCAAGUCAAGAUUGGACCCAUUUGGAUUAUGGUGGGCCCUGAAUCCACUGGCUAAGAAGAGAUUUGGAAGCAAAUACGAAGGGGGAAGUUGUUCAAGUGAUGAUGGAGGCUGAGGCUGGAGAGGUGGGGCUAUAGGCCAAGGAAUGCCAAGGGCUACCUCAGACCAGAAGCCGGAAGAGGCUGGAAGGAUCCUCAGUCCCCUAGAUCUCUUGGAGGGAGCAUGGCCCUGCUCCACAUCACGUGCAGAUUUUCAGCCUCCAGAAAAGAGGGAGGGUAAUGUCUGUUGUUCAUACGACCUGACUGGGGGUAGUUUGUUGCAGCAGCCCUCGGAAACUCAGGCACACGCUGUUCCUAUGUAGCCGGCCUGUCCUCAUGGGCUCUGUCGAGUCCCCGUGAAAAUACAGUUGGGCUGCUGUAGAGGGCCCUGUUCCCCAGGUAGCGACCCAUCAUCUCACUUGGUCACAGGGCUGCCGGAAAAUGCUCUGCCACUGGGAAUGAGCUAUUGCCCCCCUUGCUCAGACUGCACUCUCCGUCAGACUCAAAGUCACCACUGUGAGCUCAGUGUUCUCCUUAUUUCUUGGAAAGCACCUUCAGAACCAGUUCAAGGAAAACAAACUGUGAGGUUUGUGCAGGAUCUAUUUAAAGCAAAUCAUUGGUUCUAGUUCCAAUAACAAACCAGAGGCCAGUUGGGUCUUUGGGACAAGAGUAGAGGCGCUGAGCAUGUGUGCUUAACUGCAGGGCAGGCAGGUCCCCACGCACGUCGCCUGGCUUGCCCCCUCCUUCACUGGGCAGCUGCCUCAGUGGCUGCCUGCCCAGCACUCUGCCCAAAAUGGACAGAGAACUACACAGUCACCAAAUAUGAAUCUUAAAGCAGAUUUGAUGUAGGAGUUACCAUUUUGGUGUGCUUAGUGGGAGCAUUAUGAGCCCAGGUAGGCCCUGUUAUCCAGAAAUCCCAAACUGCUUGGUUAUAGCAGGAUUUAUGCAUGCAAAGCCUACUCCAGGGCUCUAAGAAUGCAGAGUCAGUGAAUGGCCCAAAUCUGGAAGCACCGCAGCUGCCUGUGCCUGGCUGGGACCCAGUCUGAGGCAAAUGUUUCUUCUAUCCUGACAUUGGCAAGCUCUCCUCUGUGGGCGGUGAUAGCAGGGUGGACCAAUGGACUUAUUCCUCUCCCGCACAUCAAUUCUAUGUACCACCCUAUGCCAAGCACUGGCAAUGC
Molecule: long non-coding RNA, 2973 nt
Organism: Chinchilla lanigera (long-tailed chinchilla)
Lineage: Eukaryota; Metazoa; Chordata; Mammalia; Rodentia; Chinchillidae
Exons: 3
Source: RefSeq, a predicted model, not a curated record